Molecule: transfer RNA, 64 nt
Filed under: bacterium
Lineage: Bacteria
Description: tRNA-OTHER
Rfam family: tRNA (bases 3-58)
About the family: Transfer RNA (tRNA) molecules are approximately 80 nucleotides in length. Their secondary structure includes four short double-helical elements and three loops (D, anti-codon, and T loops).
Source: RNAcentral
GUUAGCUCAAUGGUAGAGCAGUGGUUUUUGAACCACCUGUUGCAGGUUCGAGUCCUGCGCCGAA